Molecule: unclassified non-coding RNA, 376 nt
Filed under: uncultured Actinomycetes bacterium
Lineage: Bacteria; Bacillati; Actinomycetota; Actinomycetes
Description: uncultured actinobacterium contains 16S-23S intergenic spacer region
Source: RNAcentral
UCCGAGUUGACCCCGGCAGUCUCCCAUGAGUCCCCGGCAUUACCCGCUGGCAACAUGGAACGAGGGUUGCGCUCGUUGCGGGACUUAACCCAACAUCUCACGACACGAGCUGACGACAACCAUGCACCACCUGUGCACGGCCCUUACGGACCCCGCAUCUCUGCGGGAUUUCCGUGCAUGUCAAGCCUAGGUAAGGUUCUUCGCGUUGCAUCGAAUUAAGCAACAUGCUCCGCUGCUUGUGCGGGCCCCCGUCAAUUCCUUUGAGUUUUAGCCUUGCGGCCGUACUCCCCAGGCGGGGCACUUACUGCGUUAGCGACGGCACUCAGAGGGUCGCUCCCCCAAGCACCUAGUGCCCAUCGUUUACGGCGUGGACUAC